Molecule: ribosomal RNA, 428 nt
Filed under: Actinomycetes bacterium
Lineage: Bacteria; Bacillati; Actinomycetota; Actinomycetes
Description: Actinobacteria bacterium partial 16S ribosomal RNA
Rfam family: Bacterial small subunit ribosomal RNA
Source: RNAcentral
UAGGGAAUCUUCCGCAAUGGGCGAAAGCCUGACGGAGCAACGCCGCGUGAGUGAUGAAGUCUUCAGAUCGUAAAACUCUGUUAUUAGGGAAGAACAAAUGUGUAAGUAACUAUGCACGUCUUGACGGUACCUAAUCAGAAAGCCACGGCUAACUACGUGCCAGCAGCCGCGGUAAUACGUAGGUGGCAAGCGUUAUCCGGAAUUAUUGGGCGUAAAGCGCGCGUAGGCGGUUUUUUAAGUCUGAUGUGAAAGCCCACGGCUCAACCGUGGAGGGUCAUUGGAAACUGGAAAACUUGAGUGCAGAAGAGGAAAGUGGAAUUCCAUGUGUAGCGGUGAAAUGCGCAGAGAUAUGGAGGAACACCAGUGGCGAAGGCGACUUUCUGGUCUGUAACUGACGCUGAUGUGCGAAAGCGUGGGGAUCAAACAGG